This 509-nucleotide ribosomal RNA is filed under the name Echinocladius martini. RNAcentral describes it as "partial 16S ribosomal RNA". The record is from RNAcentral. Lineage: Eukaryota; Metazoa; Arthropoda; Insecta; Diptera; Chironomidae.
GACUGGUGCAAGGUAGCAUAAUCAUUAGUUUUUUAAUUGAAGACUUGAAUAAAUGGUUAAAUGAGAUAUUUAUUGUUUCUUUAUAUUUUUUAUUUAAUUUUAUAUUUUAGUUAAAAAGCUAAAAUUUUUAUUAAAGACGAGAAGACCCUAUAAAGCUUUAUAUUUUUAAAAAGAUUUUUAAUAAAAUAAUUUGAAAGAUUUUAUUUAAAAAUAUUUUAUUGGGGUGAUAAAAAAAUUUAAUAAACUUUUUUUUUAUUUUCAUUUAUUUAUGUUAUAAAAUUUAUUUUUAAAAAUAAUUAUUUUUGAUCCUUUAUUUAUGAUUAAAAGUUUAAGUUACUUUAGGGAUAACAGCGUAAUUUUUUUUGGAGAGUUCAAAUUUUAUAAAAAAGGAUUGCGACCUCGAUGUUGGGACUAAAGAGUAAAUUUUUAGGUGUAGAAGUUUAAAAUUUUAAGUCUGUUCGACUUUUUUAUUUCUUACGUGAUCUGAGUUCAAACCGGUGUAAGCCAGG